UUAAAAAUUUGACCGGCAGAG
Molecule: non-coding RNA, 21 nt
Filed under: Caenorhabditis elegans
Lineage: Eukaryota; Metazoa; Nematoda; Chromadorea; Rhabditida; Rhabditidae
Source: RNAcentral